UAGAUACCCUAUUAUAUUGAGCGUUAAUUUUGCACUUGGGUAGUAGUAGUUAUGUUCUUGAAACCCAAAGAAUUUGGCGGUAUUUUAGUCUUUUUAGAGGAACCUGUUCUGUAAUCGAUACUCCACGAUUUUAUCAACUUGUUUUUGUUUUCAGUUUUUAUAUCUCCGUCAUAAGAAUUUUUUUUUAGGAUGAAUUUUCUUGAUUGCUUAAGGCAAUUAUGUCAGGUCAAGGUGAAGCUAAUAGACAAGUAGAAAUGGGUUACAAUAACAUUAUUUAUACGGAUUAUUAUUUUUGUUAAAUAUGAAGGUGGAUUUAAAGGUAAAUUUAAUUAAUUAAUUUUUUUGAUUUUAGCUCUAAAAUAUGC
This 365-nucleotide ribosomal RNA is filed under the name Pseudagrion ignifer. RNAcentral describes it as "partial 12S ribosomal RNA". The record is from RNAcentral. Lineage: Eukaryota; Metazoa; Arthropoda; Insecta; Odonata; Coenagrionidae.